UACCCCAUGCAGUGAUGUAUGGCUGAACAGUUGGAAGUCAGCAAAGUCAUGUACCAAGAUGGUCAUGAACAUCUUGGGAAGGAC
Desulfitobacterium hafniense DCB-2 is the source of this 84-nucleotide non-coding RNA. The record is from Rfam. NCBI's taxonomy places the organism in Bacteria, Bacillati, Bacillota, Clostridia, Eubacteriales, Desulfitobacteriaceae.